UCCCAGAUGGCUUAGUGGUAAAGAACUCUUCUGCCAAUGGAGGAGACCCAGGUUCAAUCCCUGGGUGGGGAA
Molecule: transfer RNA, 72 nt
Filed under: Ovis aries (sheep)
Lineage: Eukaryota; Metazoa; Chordata; Mammalia; Artiodactyla; Bovidae
Rfam family: tRNA
About the family: Transfer RNA (tRNA) molecules are approximately 80 nucleotides in length. Their secondary structure includes four short double-helical elements and three loops (D, anti-codon, and T loops).
Source: Rfam by way of RNAcentral